RNAcentral lists this transfer RNA (73 nucleotides) under Camelus bactrianus (Bactrian camel). It matches the Rfam family "tRNA". Rfam says of the family: Transfer RNA (tRNA) molecules are approximately 80 nucleotides in length. Lineage: Eukaryota; Metazoa; Chordata; Mammalia; Artiodactyla; Camelidae. The record is from Rfam by way of RNAcentral. RNAcentral also lists the same sequence under 2 other names.
GGGUAUACAGCUUAGGGGUAAAGCAUGUGCUUAGCAUGCAUGAGGUCCUGGGUUCAAUCCCCCAGCACCUCCG